Sceloporus undulatus (fence lizard) is the source of this 742-nucleotide long non-coding RNA. RefSeq lists it as uncharacterized. The record is from RefSeq and is a predicted model, not a curated record. The transcript is spliced from 4 exons. NCBI's taxonomy places the organism in Eukaryota, Metazoa, Chordata, Lepidosauria, Squamata, Phrynosomatidae.
CUCACCAGGAAAAGCCCCUUAGGGUUGCCAUAAACCAGAAAUGACUUGAAGGCACUCAACAACAACAAGAGUUGUCCAUCAACUGAAGAUGAGUAAGGGUUGUUGAUUAUUUAAUGGAACUCAGAGUUUAAAGCAAUUGUUUUUAUCCCAGAAGCUGAGCUGCUUUACAAUCGGCUAAUGUGAUAGUUUGUUUUCCUCUAUAAGUGAAAAUUCUGAAAUGCUUUCUUGGUCUCCUUCAGGACUCUGUCAAGGAGAGUGAAAAGGAAAGGAAAAUAUGCCUACAUCUAGAAUCUCAGGACUCAAGACAGCUCACAAAGUUAAAUGAAAAUAUAAGAUAAGUCUGCCUUAUCUGGAAUUCUGAAAUCUGAAAUACUCCAAAAUCCAAAAUUGUCCACAUGAAUGGCCUACUGAUUCCUCAAGUCGUCCGAAAAAGAGGCCUUCUGAUUCGACUCUUGCUAUCAACAGGUCCAAAUCCAAGAAGAGUGAUAAAACUGUUUGUGUCCACAAGAUGUCAUCCAGGAGUGACGCUAAGCCCAUGCCCAUUAUACUGAAGUCCACUGAUGUACAUUCAAGGAUUUUCCUCGAUGUAUUUCAAAGAUUGCAAAUACCAACCAUUCAGUGACAACCUCUUCAGUGAUCACUACAACCACUGUUGCUUCUGUCUUUGAAGGCGGAUGGGGUUGUCUUUCUUUCUGGAGAUCUAUCUGGGAAGGCCCACUGGAAGAGGUCCAUCUUGACAGCU